GCUUUCGUGGUGUAACGGUAGCACACUCGGCACGUAUUCGAGAGAUCGAAGUUCGAGUCCCGGCGAGGGCA
RNAcentral lists this transfer RNA (71 nucleotides) under Stegodyphus mimosarum. It matches the Rfam family "tRNA". Rfam says of the family: Transfer RNA (tRNA) molecules are approximately 80 nucleotides in length. Their secondary structure includes four short double-helical elements and three loops (D, anti-codon, and T loops). Further hydrogen bonds mediate the characteristic L-shaped molecular structure. tRNAs have two regions of fundamental functional importance: the anti-codon, which is responsible for specific mRNA codon recognition, and the 3' end, to which the tRNAs corresponding amino acid is attached (by aminoacyl-tRNA synthetases). tRNAs cope with the degeneracy of the genetic code in two manners: having more than one tRNA (with a specific anti-codon) for a particular amino acid; and 'wobble' base-pairing, i.e. permitting non-standard base-pairing at the 3rd anti-codon position. The record is from Rfam by way of RNAcentral. Lineage: Eukaryota; Metazoa; Arthropoda; Arachnida; Araneae; Eresidae.